UACGAGGGGGGCGAGCGUUAUUCGGAAUUAUUGGGCGUAAAGGGUGCGUAGGCGGUUUGGUAAGUCUUAUGUGAAAUCUAUGGGCUCAACUCAUAGUCUGCAUGAGAAACUGCCGGGCUUGAGUAUGGGAGAGGUGAGUGGAAUUCCUGGUGUAGCGGUGAAAAUGCGUAGAUAUCAGGAGGAACACCUAUGGCGAAAAGCGGCUCACUGGACCAUAACUGACGCUGAUGCACGAAAAGCUAGGGGGAGCAAUCAGG
Molecule: ribosomal RNA, 257 nt
Filed under: uncultured bacterium
Lineage: Bacteria
Description: partial 16S ribosomal RNA
Rfam family: Bacterial small subunit ribosomal RNA
Source: RNAcentral